Molecule: ribosomal RNA, 253 nt
Filed under: uncultured bacterium
Lineage: Bacteria
Description: partial 16S ribosomal RNA
Rfam family: Bacterial small subunit ribosomal RNA
Source: RNAcentral
GACGUAGGGCGCGAGCGUUGUCCGGAUUUAUUGGGCGUAAAGAGCUCGUAGGCGGCUUGUUGCGUCGGCUGUGAAAACCCGCGGCUUAACCGUGGGCUUGCAGCCGAUACGGGCAGGCUAGAGUUCGGUAGGGGAGACUGGAAUUCCCGGUGUAGCGGUGAAAUGCGCAGAUAUCGGGAGGAACACCUAUGGCGAAGGCAGCUCGCUGGGACGUUACUGACGCUGAGACGCGAAAGCGUGGGGAGCAAACAGG